Passer domesticus (house sparrow) is the source of this 1942-nucleotide long non-coding RNA. RefSeq lists it as uncharacterized. The transcript is spliced from 4 exons. The record is from RefSeq and is a predicted model, not a curated record. Lineage: Eukaryota; Metazoa; Chordata; Aves; Passeriformes; Passeridae.
AAUCAAGAUACCUCUUAGAAAUGGUGAUCCAGGGCCUCAGAACUGGUGACAAUCUCACAGGAUCAGUUCAGCUGAGUAGGAACCAGAAUCCUACUCCAACAAAGCAAGCAGUUCUAGGGGGCUCCUUGCCUUAGGCGUCACAAUGGCUGGGAGAACGUUCCCUGCCAAGCUGCAGUGCACAGGAUCUGUUCCCUGUGCCCCAAUGGACACAGCACUGCUGCAGCAAGCCCAGAGCAGGUUACAGAGGGGGUGAGGGGACUGGAGCUCCCCUGUGAGCCUGAGAAAGGGGGCCUGUUCAGCCUGGAGGGGAGCAGGCUCUGGGGACACCUCACAGCCCCUUCCAGUGUCAGAGAGGGACCCUUCACCAGGAGCUGCAGGGAGAGGGCAACAGGGAAUGGCUUCAACUGACAGAAGGGAAAUCUAGCCUCAGGGAUUCUGUGAUUCUGUAAAUGGAGAUCUUAGAAAUAAAGCCCAGUGAGCAAACCAGAGCACCAUGAAAGACAGCAAACGUCUGUGUAAGAACCAGCUGGUGUUUCACUAACUCGCACAGCAGGCAAGCCCAGUCAAGACUUCCAAAGCACUGAAGAUAACAAGAGGCCUUGCAAAAUGGCUUCUCAAAGCCUCUCCAUAAAGGUUUCCCAAGUGUGCUCCUGUCUCCUCUUGCAGAGUGCAGAGAAAUUGCUCCAUCCCCAGUGAGUUCUCUGCUGAGUGGAGCACACGCACAUCAACUCGAUUUUAACAGGUCACGGAAUAAGCUGGGCAUUUAAAAAUAUCCACCUACCCAAAAGGACAAAUGAAUCCGUACUGUGGAGCCCUCAGCAAAGAUGGUUGGAACAAAACAAACAAAACAAUCCUGGUUUUCUAAGCUUUCCUAAUCAAUUCAAUGGAGAAAAUACCUGGAUAAACAGCAGACAUGUACACUCACCAGGGCUGGUUUUCAUCUGUCAUUGUCUGAGAGAAAAAAAUAAUACAGCACAAUUCUGAAGAGCCUUGCUUUUGCUGAAUACAGUUUGUCACUCCAGCACGUGUACAGAAAAUAAAUUUAAUAGGUUUUUUUUCAUAUUUCCUGCCACAACAAGGCGUUUUAAACGUUUAAAGAGAAAAUAACUACUCUUGACCAUCCAAGCAGUCUUGCUUUCUGAAAGAUACUGUUCUUAUUCUUUUCCUUGCCAAAGGAAUUCACGUUGUCCAUCAGACCUAGCUGGGCCAUUUGCCCCAGAAAAACACGAUGCUCCCCAUCCCUUCCUUCCAUUCCCUCCUGUGCUGCCACUGCAGGGAGAGGCCAAUUAAUUAUGGUGUUUGUUCUGCCACAAAUAACGCGGCCCAUGACCUUAUGCUUUCAAAACUGCAAUUUUUGCAUUUGUUUCUGCGGCUCGGAUCUCGAUGGGACAGCAAACAAUCAGACAUAAUUGCAGUGAUAACACACCGUAACAGAAAAACCAGCCCCGUUCCCUCCCUCGGCCACACGGCGCUGGAUUUAUCUGCUGCAGGGCAGGGGAAAUAGCUGACCAGCAGCAGCUCCUGCUCGGUAAGCUGGGCACGGGGAAAGCCUGGGCUGUUCCUGCAGGGAUACCUGACACCACAGCCCAGGUUGGCAGCGAUGGAAGUGCCCCAGCACAGCCACCGCCGAGCACCUGCCUGCCCUGCAUCCUGCUGGAAAACCCCAGCAGAGGAAUUCUGCAUCUGUGUCCGGCCCUUUGUCGCAGCUCUCCUGCGGCUGUCGCCACCCUUGCUCCUCACAAAGACAUUUUCCCGAAGACAGAUUGGCAGGAAACAUAUUUGUGAAGGUGUCCCGGGGACCAAGCCACACGCACGGACACUUACUCUGGAGGUAAUAUUUUCAUCCAGGCAUUAAAUAAAAAACAGACUUGAGAGGGAUGAAUUUUGCAACACUUUCAGGCAUCUCAUUUUUUUACUUAACCUUGUAAAACUCUUUCACUCU